AGUGAACGCUGGCGGUAGGCCUAACACAUGCAAGUCGAACGGCAGCACAGUAAGAGCUUGCUCUUACGGGUGGCGAGUGGCGGACGGGUGAGGAAUACAUCGGAAUCUACUUUUUCGUGGGGGAUAACGUAGGGAAACUUACGCUAAUACCGCAUACGACCUACGGGUGAAAGCAGGGGAUCUUCGGACCUUGCGCGAUUGAAUGAGCCGAUGUCGGAUUAGCUAGUUGGCGGGGUAAAGGCCCACCAAGGCGACGAUCCGUAGCUGGUCUGAGAGGAUGAUCAGCCACACUGGAACUGAGACACGGUCCAGACUCCUACGGGAGGCAGCAGUGGGGAAUAUUGGACAAUGGGCGCAAGCCUGAUCCAGCCAAACCGCGUGGGUGAAGAAGGCCUUCGGGUUGAAAAGCCCUUUUGUUGGGAAAGAAAAGCAGCAGGUUAAUACCCCGCUGUUCUGACGGUACCCAAAGAAUAAGCACCGGCUAACUUCGUG
RNAcentral lists this ribosomal RNA (492 nucleotides) under uncultured bacterium. Its description in RNAcentral is "partial 16S ribosomal RNA". It matches the Rfam family "Bacterial small subunit ribosomal RNA", at positions 29 to 507 of the family's 1533-position model. The record is from RNAcentral.